AGGCCCCAAAGUGGAAGGUCUAAUUAGACCCUAGAUGGCAAUCUGUCAGUAAAUCCACCAGGGCAUUAUCAUUUGCUGGGAUCACAUGGUCCAGAGUAUAAACAAUAAACACCGUCAGUCUACAUAGGAGAAUUAACCACCCAAGCCCUCAUACAUGGUUAUUCAAAACCAAGUUCAUCUACAUAUGCAUAGAACCUGAAUGGCACUAUAUCUAUGUGUGGAAGUAACAACCACUCUAUGCUAUUGUCAAUAGUGGAACCUACAUGGAUGUGAUGACACAUAUAAGACUAUGGUGUUACAUAUAAAUAAUCUUUAUGUUUUAUUGAAUUUAAAGUUAUGACAUGGUGACCUGUGGUUAUUAGACUGACUUUGGACUCUUUGACGGGGUAUACAGCACUCUGAAUGAUUGUUUCGGACUGCAAACUUACCAAUCUGGACCCAAACUGUGGUUCCAACUUGCCAGUGACUGACUGACACAUCUAUCUCUUCUAUCUAAUGUUUAUCUGGUCGGUAUUAGACCAUCUAUUGAUCUUGACUAUCUACUGUUUUGAACUUAGUCCAUAUAUACCUAUUUCUAUGUACCCUGGUGUGAUAUGACUAUAUACUGGUAGCCUAUUAUCUCCUCCUCGGUUCCCUGAUGAACCCCUAAAACAAGUGGGAGA
Long non-coding RNA from Hyla sarda, 662 nucleotides. RefSeq lists it as uncharacterized. NCBI's taxonomy places the organism in Eukaryota, Metazoa, Chordata, Amphibia, Anura, Hylidae. The transcript has 3 exons. The record is from RefSeq and is a predicted model, not a curated record.